Long non-coding RNA from Pan troglodytes (chimpanzee), 2193 nucleotides. RefSeq lists it as uncharacterized. The transcript is spliced from 4 exons. The record is from RefSeq and is a predicted model, not a curated record. NCBI's taxonomy places the organism in Eukaryota, Metazoa, Chordata, Mammalia, Primates, Hominidae.
GGGGACUGAGACAGCAGAAGUCUCCAAAGGUAAUUGUGAACUUAAAACUCUAAAAUAAUUUCCACGUAUUUGCAUUACAACAUAUAUUUUUCAUUGUAGAAAGAAUAAUUUAAGUCCCUCAAAGUUUUUUUAAUUAUUACUUAUAGAGGAUAUAGGUUCGGAGACAACAGUGUUGUAUGUAAAAGAACUACUGAAAUUAAAUGCAAGAAUAUUGAAGAUUACGGCUGAGCCUGUUUGUAGUUGCAAAUGUUAUUGCUUUCACUAAAAUUACUUUGAGACUAUUAUGUUGCCAUGAACCUUAUUCAAGUGGCAAGUUUUCUCACCCAAAGUAUGUUCAUCUUUCUCAAAUGAAAAAUUAUCCACAUAUAGAACAGGUAUUUACAAUCAUAAAGCAAAAAAUUAGUUAUUAUAUUUUAAUUAUUAUACCAGGUCCUAUAGGUAGCAUCCACUGAUGUAGCAUCAUUGAAUACUACUUUAUAUAGGACCUGGCAAAAUUACACAUAGGAAUUAGAAUUUUAAAGUGAACAAAACAAUUCCUUUUCUAUAAAAGCUAAAAAUGGCAUUCAAAUGUCAUUAACAUAAAUUGACAUAUAUGCAGAAUAUUGUAAGACCACCAAGGAGGACUCUACAAAGAAGAGGUAAUUAUUUUUAUAUGAAUGGCAGCUUAUUUUCAUAAUAAUAAUUAAUCACAUAUAAUCAUUGGCUUCAUGUGUUGUCCAUUUGUGAAAUAACAUGAUAGAACAUAAAAUGUGUGCUAAGGGUAGAUAAUAUUGGAAAUCUAGAAUAGUACUCAGUUGAGGAGAACCUUGAAGGUCAAACUAAGCCACUAGAUUAUUUUUACUUCCUUGGGAAACACAAAAAGUUUUGUUUACCCUUUCCAACUCUCUGAGAAAUGGCCUGUGUAAAGAAUGCUUAAGAAGUUUGAUCUGAAAAUACAUCUAGAAUAGUCCUAACUGGGCUGUUCUCAGGUACCUUACUUGGAGAUUCCAUAUGAUUUCAAAAGCAUUUCAAUGAUGAAAAGUCUAAAAGAACACAUCCCAAAGAAUAGGCAUGUUAGGAAAUGACUCAGAAUAUCCUACAACUGAUACUGAGAAAGAUGUAGAUCACAGGCUAGGCAAAAUUUUCUGAGCGGUGUGUGGGCAACUAUUAUGUUUUGUUUUGUUUAUUGUAUGUGUGUGUGUGUAUGUGUGUGUCUAUAUAGUUAUUGGAGCACAAGCAAGGGCAUACGUACUCUGGGGGAAAAAAAUCUUCCAAACUCCUUUUACAAGGCCAGCAGUACCCUCUUGCCAUAACUAGGUAAGGAUACUACAAGAAAAUAAAAUUACAGACCAAUAGGCCUGAUUAAUGUAAAUGCAAAAACUCAAAAAAAAAAUCAAAUUCAGCUUCACUUUAAAAGGAUUAUGCAUCAUGAACAAGUGAAAUUUAUCCCUUGGAUGCAAGGAUGUUCAACAUGUGCAAAUCAAAAAAUGUGAUACACCAUGUUAACAGAAUGAAAAAUAAAAAACAAAUGAUAAUCUUAACGCAGAAAAAGUAUUUGGUAACAUUUAAUGUCUUUUCAUAACAAAAAAUUUCAACAAAUUAUGUGUAUAAACAAUGUACCUCAACAUAGUAAGUGCCAUAUACUACAUAUAAUAAGCCUGUAACCAAUGUCAUAUUCAAUGUUAGAAAUCUGAAAGCUUUUCGUCUAUGAUGAGAAACAAGAUUAAGAUGCUCACACUUUCUACUUCUGUUCAAUAGAGUACUGGAAGUCCUACCCAGUCUAACUAGGCAAGAAGAAGAAAUAAAAGUCUUCUGAAUCAGAUAAGAAGUAAAAUUGACUCUGUUUGCAGGUGACAUGAUCUUAUUUAUAGAGAACCAUAAAGACUAUUGGAAAAAACUCUCAAAGGAGGCACAUGACUGAUGCCUGAUCCAAUGUCAGUGAAUUCUCCUGGUCCAGGGAGUCUUGCUCUGUCACCCAGGCUGGAGUGCAAUGACUUGAUGUAGGCUCACUGCAACCUCUGCCUUCCAGGUUCAAGUGAUUCUCCUGCCUCAGCCUCCCGAGUAGCUGGGAUUACAGUACAUUAUCCACCUGAAUUGAAGAAGCAGAACCAGCCAGAAGAGGAAACACUGUAAUAAAAUUAAGAUCUGGACUCUAAUUCUGUUUUAUUUUCUCAACAUAUAAACCAUGAGUAAAUUGUUAAUCUUAAAAGAAAA